This 253-nucleotide ribosomal RNA is filed under the name uncultured bacterium. RNAcentral describes it as "partial 16S ribosomal RNA". It matches the Rfam family "Bacterial small subunit ribosomal RNA", at positions 524 to 776 of the family's 1533-position model. The record is from RNAcentral.
UACGUAGGGUGCAAGCGUUGUCCGGAAUUAUUGGGCGUAAAGCGCUCGUAGGCGGUCUGUCGCGUCGGAUGUGAAAAUCCAGGGCUUAACCCUGGGCCUGCAUUCGAUACGGGCAGACUAGAGUUCGGUAGGGGAGACUGGAAUUCCUGGUGGAGCGGUGAAAUGCGUUGAUAUCAUCAGGAACACCGGUGGCGAAGGCGGUCUGCUGGGCAGUUGCUGACACUGAGGCGCGACAGCGUGGGGAGCAAACAGG